ACAUCUGUGCCAACAAGAAUAUUGGCAUCUUCUUCAAGCGUUUCAACCCAUUCAGUUUGUUCGCGGACCGUUACGCAAGGUACUUCCAUAAAGUAAGCUUCCUUUUGUACACCGCCCG
RNAcentral lists this non-coding RNA (118 nucleotides) under Bacillus methanolicus MGA3. The record is from RNAcentral. Lineage: Bacteria; Bacillati; Bacillota; Bacilli; Caryophanales; Bacillaceae.